This 405-nucleotide ribosomal RNA is filed under the name Triticum aestivum (bread wheat). RNAcentral describes it as "partial small subunit ribosomal RNA". The record is from RNAcentral. Lineage: Eukaryota; Viridiplantae; Streptophyta; Magnoliopsida; Poales; Poaceae.
AUGGCGAAAUGCAGCAAGAUCCACAACAUCGUCUUGCUCCGGCAGACCCUGCGACGGUGGCGCUCCCGUGCCGCGGCGCGCGCUGCUGCGGGCGACGGCGCGGUGUCGGUGCCGGCGGGGCACGUGGCGGUGUGCGUGGGCGGCGCGUCGCGGCGGUUCGUGGUGCGGGCGGCGCACCUGAACCACCCCGUGUUCCGGGAGCUGCUCCGGCGGGCGGAGGAGGAGUACGGGUUCCCGUCCGGCGCGUGCGGCCCCAUCGCGCUCCCCUGCGACGAGGACCGCUUCCGGGACGUCCUCCGCCGCGUCUCCUCCGAGGAGCGCCGCGGCGUGCCGGCCGCCAACAGCCGCGACGUGGCGACGCGGCCGUUGCUUCAGAGGGUGGCGGCGGAGGAGCUCGUGUGGUAA